This is a long non-coding RNA of Oncorhynchus tshawytscha (Chinook salmon), 356 nucleotides long. The record is from Ensembl. NCBI's taxonomy places the organism in Eukaryota, Metazoa, Chordata, Actinopteri, Salmoniformes, Salmonidae.
GCUCUAUACAGGGGGUACCGGUACAGAGUCAAUGUGGAGGCUCUAUACAGGGGGUACCGGUACCGAGGAAAUGUGGAGGCUAUAUACAGGGGGUACCAGUACCGAGUCAAUGUGGAGGCUCUAUACAGGGGGUACCGGUACCGAGUCAAUGCGGAGGCUCUAUACAGGGGGUACCGGUACCGAGGAAAUGUGGAGGCUAUGUACAGGAGGUACCGGUACAGUCAAUGUGGAGGCUAUGUACAGGUGGUACCGGUACUGAGGAAAUGUGGAAGCUAUGUACAGGUGGUACCGGUACCGAGGAAAUGUGGAGGCUAUGUACAGGAGGUACCGGUACAGAGUCAAUGUGGAGGCUAUGU